This 73-nucleotide transfer RNA is filed under the name Nanobdellota archaeon. Its description in RNAcentral is "Nanoarchaeota archaeon tRNA-Gln". It matches the Rfam family "tRNA". Rfam says of the family: Transfer RNA (tRNA) molecules are approximately 80 nucleotides in length. Their secondary structure includes four short double-helical elements and three loops (D, anti-codon, and T loops). Lineage: Archaea; Nanobdellati; Nanobdellota. The record is from RNAcentral. RNAcentral also lists the same sequence under 1 other name.
AGCCCCGUCGUCUAGCGGCCAAGGAUGGGUGGCUCUGGACCACCUGACCCAGGUUCGAAUCCUGGCGGGGCUA